UUAAUGCAGUAAAGAAUGAACAUUGUUUCAUUACUUGAAUACAUACAUACGAAAGAUUAGAAAUUAAGAUUUGUUUAUAUUUAUCUGUGUAAAAUACAAAAAUCCUAAUUUUGCAAUUUUUAGAUUCCCUGUACCAGGUGAUUGCGGGAGAUUGAUCACCUGCGUGGACGGUCAUCCGCGACUUCUCACCUGCGGAGAUGGAAAACUAUUCGACUCAGUGAGCCUGACUUGCCUGGAUCCAGAUGAUGUUCCUCACUGUACUAACGGUGUUUAAGAAUAGAGGCACAUUCCUGACAAUCACCUGAUAUCCUAAAUCGGCAAACAACGAAAAAAGACAACAAACCAUCAAACAAUGAAAAACUAAUACAUUUGAUGACAAACAAAAAAUUAAAAA
Molecule: long non-coding RNA, 394 nt
Organism: Formica exsecta
Lineage: Eukaryota; Metazoa; Arthropoda; Insecta; Hymenoptera; Formicidae
Exons: 2
Source: RefSeq, a predicted model, not a curated record